GACGAACGCUGGCGGCGUGCUUAACACAUGCAAGUCGAACGGAAAGGCCCUGCUUUUGUGGGGUGCUCGAGUGGCGAACGGGUGAGUAACACGUGAGUAACCUGCCCUUGACUUUGGGAUAACUUCAGGAAACUGGGGCUAAUACCGGAUAGGAGCUCCUGCUGCAUGGUGGGGGUUGGAAAGUUUCGGCGGUUGGGGAUGGACUCGCGGCUUAUCAGCUUGUUGGUGGGGUAGUGGCUUACCAAGGCUUUGACGGGUAGCCGGCCUGAGAGGGUGACCGGCCACAUUGGGACUGAGAUACGGCCCCGACUCCUACGCGAGGCAGCAGUGGCGAAUAUUGCGCAAUGGGCGGAAGCCUGAUGCAGCAACGCCGCGUGCGGGAUGACGGCCUUCGGGUUGUAAACCGCUUUCGCCUGUGACGAAGCGUGAGUGACGGUAAUGGGUAAAGAAGCACCGGCUACCUACGUG
RNAcentral lists this ribosomal RNA (468 nucleotides) under uncultured bacterium. RNAcentral describes it as "partial 16S ribosomal RNA". It matches the Rfam family "Bacterial small subunit ribosomal RNA", at positions 28 to 507 of the family's 1533-position model. The record is from RNAcentral.